GGAACCUGAAUAUUGAGGGGGAUUUGCUGACAUAUCAGCCUCAGAGAUUACAGAUGAGAGAUUAGCUAUUCUUUGACUCGCAACAAACGUAUGAGCUGACACACACUGAUGUUACUGGUAGUCCUUCCAUUUACCACAACAGGAAGUCUAUGUGGACAAACUUACUACACCACUCCCGUAAUGCCAUCCAUCCAUCCACAGACACUUUUAUCCUAGAAAUCAUUUUUCCGGUGGAUGAAUAGUCUGAAGUCAAGAAGAG
Molecule: long non-coding RNA, 259 nt
Filed under: Struthio camelus australis
Lineage: Eukaryota; Metazoa; Chordata; Aves; Struthioniformes; Struthionidae
Description: lncRNA (ENSSCUG00000011407.1)
Source: RNAcentral